CCAGGUGCACCGAAAACAGAGAUGUCACAUCCCGCACAGCCAAGUAGUAACUUCUCCUCAGGACCAGAGCUGGACUCCAGAAGAUACCAACUCAGCAACCAUUUCAUCCCUUUGCUACUCCUGGGCUUCUUGAAGACCUCCAUUUUCCUGUGCCUAGUCUGUGCUGCAAUCUGGGUGAGCGUACAGAACAAGAGAAACUCCAGGAAGCUGGUGCCAGAUGGACAUGCUCAUGACCUGCCUCAUUCUGAGGUUAGGAACGGGUCAGAACCAGCAGAGGUUAGCAGACCACAGCCCUGUGCAUCUACCCAGCCACCUAGUGAGUGCGAUUUUCCUCUCACACAAGUGAGAAUGUGGAACAGCUCCAGUGAAGUCUAUCGAGCUACACGGGUGUAAAUCCAGGGUCAGUGAGACAAGAAUGAGAACCAGAGUCUGCAUGGUGUGGGGGGGGGGGCAUUUCUGCCCUAAUUUUGAGGAGUCUAGUGCCCUAACUCUUGUUUGUACUAGUUGAGUAUAUUCUGAAUAUUUGGCAAAGGCACCUAGAACUCUGGAGAGGAUUUUUUGAUAUUCUCUGUACAUCUAAAUAGAUAAAAUAUUCAAAUCACCAAUACCUCCCAGUAACCAAAACUGCCAUCCCUCCUAGAGCUUCUAUAACAAACUGCCCAUUCGCUCUCUCCUUUCACUUCACCCUCUUGUUAUGAAGUGUGUAAGAGGCACAUGAGGUUAGCACCAGAAAAGCAUCAGAUAAGAAAAGAAGCAGAAGCACUGGAGUGCUAUUGAUGCUGCAGGAUGUGAGCAGUCACAUUAUGUCAUGUGCUAAA
Long non-coding RNA from Trachemys scripta elegans, 818 nucleotides. RefSeq lists it as uncharacterized. The transcript is spliced from 3 exons. NCBI's taxonomy places the organism in Eukaryota, Metazoa, Chordata, Testudines, Emydidae. The record is from RefSeq and is a predicted model, not a curated record.